Molecule: RNA transcript, 8634 nt
Organism: Marmota monax (woodchuck)
Lineage: Eukaryota; Metazoa; Chordata; Mammalia; Rodentia; Sciuridae
Gene: Klhl6
Gene name: kelch like family member 6
Exons: 8
Source: RefSeq, a predicted model, not a curated record
GACAGCUGGUGAUAAGUGGAGGGCCCUGCACAGGAAAUCCGCUCAGCUUCUGCAAUGUGACCUGCCUGAAACUUGGGCGCUCCUUCAGUCAGGAUGUCCAUGGCGGGACAAAGGGGAUCCUGGACCAUGGGCGAUGUGGUAGAGAAGAGUUUGGAAGGGCCCCUGGCACCCUCUACAGAAGAGCCCUCCCAGAAAAGUGGAGAAUUGGUAGAAAUCUUAAAUGGGGAGAAGGUGAAAUUUGACGACUCAGGACUGUCCUUAAUUCUUCAGAGCGGCCUGGAGACCCUCCGAGUGGAAAACGCUCUGACAGAUGUCAUCUUGUGUGUGGACAUUCAGGAAUUCUCCUGCCACCGCGUGGUGCUUGCUGCGGCCAGCAACUACUUCAGGGCCAUGUUCUGCAAUGACUUAAAGGAAAAGUAUGAGAAGAGGAUCAUCAUUAAAGGGGUGGACGCCGAGACUAUGCACACGCUCCUGGACUACACAUACACCAGCAAGGCGCUCAUCACCAAGCAGAACGUCCAACGGGUCCUGGAAGCUGCCAACCUCUUCCAGUUCCUGCGGAUGGUGGAUGCCUGCGCCAGCUUCCUCACAGAAGCCUUGAACCCAGAAAACUGUGUUGGAAUCCUGAGGUUGGCAGACACACACUCUUUGGACAGUCUAAAGAAGCAAGUUCAGAAUUACAUCAUUCAAAACUUUGUGCAGAUUCUGAACUCCGAGGAGUUCCUUGAACUUCCCGUGGACACUCUGUACCACAUCUUGAAGAGUGACGACCUUUAUGUGACUGAGGAAGCUCAGGUGUUUGAGACUGUGAUGAGCUGGGUCCGCCACAAACAGUCAGAGCGACUCUGCUUGCUCCCCUGUGUUCUCGAGAACGUGCGCUUGCCACUUCUGGACCCGUGGUACUUUGUGGAGACGGUCGAAGCAGAUCCUCUCAUCAGACAGUGCCCAGAGGUCUUCCCACUGCUCCAGGAAGCCAGGAUGUACCACCUUUCUGGCAAUGAGAUCAUUUCGGAGCGCACCAAGCCCAGGAUGCACGAAUUCCAAUCUGAGGUGUUCAUGAUCAUUGGUGGCUGUACAAAGGACGAACGGUUUGUGGCAGAGGUAACCUGCCUGGAUCCCCUGAGGCGCAGUCGCCUGGAGGUGGCCAAGCUCCCAUUGACUGAGCAUGAGCUGGAGAUUGAGAAUAAGAAGUGGGUGGAGUUUGCAUGCGUGACAUUAAAAAAUGAGGUCUACAUCUCAGGUGGCAAAGAAACACAGCAUGAUGUUUGGAAAUACAAUUCUUCAAUCAACAAGUGGAUUCAGAUUGAAUAUUUAAACAUCGGCCGCUGGAGGCAUAAAAUGGUGGUGUUGGGUGGCAAGGUCUAUGUCAUUGGAGGUUUUGAUGGCUUACAGAGGAUCAACAAUGUGGAGACCUACGACCCCUUCCACAACUGCUGGUCGGAGGCUGCACCCCUCCUUGUCCAUGUCAGUUCCUUCGCCGCCACCAGCCACAAGAAGAAGCUCUAUGUGAUUGGGGGAGGGCCUAAUGGAAAACUGGCCACAGACAAAACUCAGUGUUAUGACCCUUCCACCAAUAAAUGGACUUUAAAGGCAGCCAUGCCUGUGGAGGCUAAAUGCAUCAAUGCAGUGAGUUUCCGGGACCGCAUCUAUGUUGUUGGAGGGGCCAUGAGAGCGCUGUACGCCUACAGCCCUCUGGAGGACAGCUGGUGCCUGGUGACGCAGCUCAGCCACGAGCGGGCCAGCUGCGGCAUCGCGCCCUGCAACAACCGGCUCUACAUCACCGGCGGGCGGGACGAGAAGAACGAGGUCAUCGCCACUGUACUGUGUUGGGACCCCGAGGCUCAGAAACUGACGGAGGAGUGCGUCCUGCCCCGGGGGGUGUCGCACCACGGCAGCGUCACCAUCAGGAAGUCCUACACCCACAUCCGGAGGAUCGUGCCCGGAGCUGUGUCUGUGUGACUGACAAGGGACCCUGGAGGGCGCCACCGGGAGCACUUAGUUCUACCUUGCGCCCUUCAUCCGUGUCCACCCGCAGGCUCCGCUUGUGUUUAAGGCCAUGAAUCGGGAGCGCACCCGGCUUGCUCUGGGGCACCUAGCAAGUCACGACUUUGGAACACUUGAAAAUGGCCAGGAAUGUUUGCAUGACCUACCUCAGGAGGAAGGAUGGAAGAAGAGUAAUAUUUAACAUUUGCGACACUUCUACCCUAUGCCAGGUCUUUUUCUAUAUUAACUCAUUUAACCAUGGGAAUGACCGCCUGCUGGGAUAUUGUCACUCUAGUCUGAGAAGAAACUGAGUUUCAGAAAGGUCAAGUGGCUUGCCCCCGGGUACUCAUUUAGCAAGUAGCUAUGCCAGGAGUAUAAACCCAAGUCUUUCCAGUUCAAAGCCAAUGUCCUCCCCACCAUGUGCCUAACUGAGAGGAGGAAAAUCAAAACCCAAACCUGACUCAGGUCUUGUUCUGGCCAGUCUGUUAGAAGAUUGACUCAGCAAGGCAGGGAAAUAAAGGUGUUUCUUUUUCCUUUUUUUUUUUUUUCCUUUUCACUCCUGUAUUUAAAUCUUAUGAAAUCCUUAGUGUUGGAGACUUUGGGGGCUUUUGUCAAGAGUGUCUCAUAGGCUGUCCCACUUGACAGGGGAGGCAGUUCUGGGAAGACCAGUUUGUAUUGAAAGAGAUAAAAAGUUUUGUUCUCCUGGCAUCAAAGCUUUUCUUUUUUAUGGUCACUGGAUGGCCCAUUUUGGACUUGAACUGACAUUGCCAGAUGGAAUUACCUUCACCACAGUCUGGUGCCUGGACUCUUAAUGUCCAACAGUUGUACUGUAAUGUAGAAAAGAGGUUUCCAGAGACUCAAACUAUUGUUUUUUAAAUAUGUAAACAUCUCAACACUGCUGGCCACUGCAGGAAUGUCAGAUUCUUCUUGACAGUGUACUUUCUACUUUAAGACUGUGAUCUGGACCCACUCACCUGAAGUUUUCAGGAUAUUUUAAAGCCUAUCUUCUUGAGUUUUGAAUAAGCUUGGCUCAAUUUUGAUUCUAAGAACAGAGUCUGCCCUUCACUCUAAGAAAAGAACUUUCAAAUGAGCUCACUGGAAAUUCAUUCUAAUCCCCAAGAUAGAGAAACAGGUUAAGAGAUCCUGUUUCAUACGCUGUAGUUAAAAACAUAGCAACUGCAUUACCCCAGAUCACUGUCUGAGCCAUUUGUGACCUACAGGAAAAAUCAGUCUUAGUCCAAAGGCUAUUUCAGGGAAGAGAUUCCAAAGAGGAAAUCCAAUGACAACAUCACUGGCAUACAACUCUCAGAAAGAGAAUGUUCCUUGCCAGGGAUCCAAUGGGUACUGUCCUUUGAUAGAAGCAAUCAGCAAACUUACAGUUCUUUAGAGGUGUGUGUGUAUGUGUGUGGGGGGGGGGUGUUUAAGAUUGUGCUGGGAAAGUGAGGACAUAGGAUCUCUAAGUUAUAAACCUGAUUCUAAAUGCAGUUCUGAAGUUUCAGGGGUAAUUCAUAAUGUCUAAGUUCACACAAGGGGAGGAGUCUCUAUGAUUUUUGUAACACCAAUAAACAUGUGAAUUGUGGUAAAGUUACAGGUAUUCAAGAUCCAGGAGUUCUUAAUAAUAAUGUGGGUCAGGGGACAGAUUUACCUAUUAAGAAGAUCUAGAGUGGUGCAUGCCUGUUAUCCCAGCAGUUCGGGAGGCUGAGGCCGAAGGAUUGAGAGUUCAAAGCCAGCCUCAGCAAAAGCAAGGUGCUAAGCAACUCAGUGAGACCCUGUCUCUAAAUAAAAUACAAAAUAGGACUGUGGAUUUGGCUCAGUGGCUGAGUGCCCCUGAGUUCAAUCCUUGGAAAACCCCCCUCCAAAAAAAGAUCUAGGGUUCUGCAUUUGAAGCUGCCAGCCUGUAGCUUUUAGGAAAGGAAAAAAAGUUCAAGUCAUUUUGGGGAAACUUUGCAAGUAUAGUCAUCAGAGUUUAAGCUUCUAGGCACUAGAAGCUCUUAAAAUCUACUUUUCAUUCCAAGUUAAUAAAACAAAAUCCCAAGUUUGCACCAAGUUAAUGGUUAUGUACCACCAAUAUGGGGAGAGCAAGCUGAGGCUAACCCAGAAACAACCCCAGGACUCAGAGGGGGGAUAGAAGGAGGUUCUGCCACAGUUGGCAUGUUGAGGCAGGGCCUCUGCAUGGAUAGACAUGGUAGAGGAGGAGGAGGUCAGGUUUUGAAGAUGAGGGUCUAGAAAAUGAUAUUGCGGCCCAGGAGUUUGUAAGUGUGACUCCAGUCCCAAGAAGGGCAAGAAAGAAUAAAGGAGCAGGGGACUUGCACACAAGGAAACAAAGAGGGAACCUACUUCCUAGAACUGAGGCACAAGUUAGAGCAGGGCCAACAGUUGGGGCAAUUUGCUGUGGGGCCUGUGAGCUGCCUGGUUGGGUCUUGCAUCCUAAUGGAGAUAACAAGACCCAGAGCCUUUGAUGGAGUAGAAUCUGUAGAAGAGGUUAAGGCUGGUCAAGGCUGGUCUGACAGGCAGGGAGUUAAGCUCACCAAAACACUGACAGAUAAAUGUCUUCUUCUUUGCUUUCAGCCAUUCUGGUCUCAGUGGUUUCAGGAAACACACACAUGUAAAACUCCAUGUCCUUGAACUCAAAGUAACCAUGCUCUCAGGGAAAUAACAAUUAUCAUUCUCAACAUUCUUUUAUAGCUGUGAAAGCAUAGCUUUGCUAUUUAUAAAAGUUGAGGUAGUAGUGUUCAUUCUUUACUUGUCCUAUUUGAUUUUGAAAAAUAAAAGUACUCCAUAAUUUUUAAAGUGAGUAGACAUCAAUGGAUUUUUUUUUUGUAUGAAGUCCUAAUUUGGGGUUGCAAAGUCAUUUUUUCUUCUAAGUGUUAGAUCUCAUGAUUCAAAGAGUCAACUUCCAUGUAAAUUCCCAUAUGUCUCAAAUAUAGGUACUGCAAAGCCAGUCCUGACAGGUCAGAUUUUUAUAUUUAUAGGCAUAAAUAGUGAACCAAACCAUUUAAGCAUUUUUGGUUUCAUGAGAUUGUAGUUUUUUUAAGUGAUCAAAGCAAGGAUGUUGUUUAUAGGUUAAAGAAGUUUUAAUUUAUUCAAUAAAAUGUGUAUGGAAUGGAUAAGAAUGUGUUGUAUAUAAUCAAUGAUUUUUUUUUACUUCUUUUGGUUGAUAUGAAUAAAUACUAUCUGAAUUGAAAUUAAAUGUAGUUGGUGGGAAUUUAAAAUGUUUCAGUAGAUCAAGAGAGUUUAGAUUAAUGCAGAAGACAACAUUCACCAGGUUUGCUUUGUAGAAUGGUUAACAGUACAGUUUUUCCCUCCCUAAAUCCACAUUGCCUCUCUGAACAAGCUUUCCCAAAUCAUUUGCAAUGUAUGCGACUUUCAUCCUGCCUGGCCUCACCCCCUCUUACAGGAUGCCCUCUUUUAGGUUUUGAUUCCAGAUCUGACUUCUAAGCCCUCUACCAGUGUCUUCCAUGUCAUCUCUGAGGCCCCAACCAACCCCAUUCUUUUCGCAUCAGUAUAUGAGAUGAAGGGCUGUAGUUCUCACCCACUGAAGAACUUGACAUCAUUUUGGUUUGUUUUGGAUUAUAAUGCAAAAGUCCUACAGAACUGAAAAGGAAACUUGAGGCUCCAAAGAAAUUUGGUGUUCCAUGAAUAGCUUUGGACCAUUCCCUCUUGGUUUCUUAUUCUUCUGCCUUAGGAGGUCUUGGUGGAAAACCUUGGGAAGCACAGAUUCAUCUCAUGGGGAGAGUUGUUCUGGAGUUGAUUCUGGGCUAGAAAUCCAAUGGCCAUGACUUUAUGCUCAGCCAAUUUAUUAACUUUAUGCUCAGCCAAUUUUCCUAUGGGAUCUCAGGGAUAAUUGGAUACUCAGUCCUCUCCCUGUUCCUGUGGGCCCAUGCCUCAUUUUGUGUUUGUGUACACUGUCAUAGUUCAAGAUCCCUGGUCUAGGGACCUGUCAAGGUCUAGUGCAUCCUGGCCUUAGCAUUGAUCUGCCUGUUUACCAUUCACUGUUUUUCACUUCUGUUUUUUUUUUUUUUUUUCAUCUGAGAUUUUCCUUUUCUUCUUGCCGGCUCAGAUGUCUGAGGUCAGUUGUUAGCUACAACAAACUGUAAAUUAUUUCGACAAUUUUGAACUUUUUCAGGUAGUACUUCAAAAGGGUGUGUGUGGGGGUCAUCCCAGGGUUGUAGCCUGGGAAUACUGGAAGCCAUGCUGACACGGGAGUUUCCUAGGGCAGGGUUUGAAUGGGAAGCAGGGGCAGGGAGCUUCAAGGUCCAGGCUUAUUUGCUUUAUGAAACAGAUAAGAGUUCAAGAAAAUGAUGUGUUGACCACUUGCACUGAAGUUGGCAGUAUUUCGGAAAAAGAACUGACCAAUUUCUGCAACACAGAAGGCCCCACUGUGAGGCCAGGAGUGCCAAACCACUCCUUCUAGAACCUUCAGAAAACAACCAAAGAGAAAAAUAGUAUGGAAACUUCUUUGAACCUAUAUAGGCCACAAGCAAUGCUUUUAAACUUUUAAAAUCAUGUGUCAAUAAAAUACAUCUUUCAGUAUGUCUUAUUUUAGUUUUUCAUGAAGUGCUGUUCACAGUUCAGCAAAUUAACUUCAUCACUGGCCAAUGGGUCACAAAUCACAAACCACAUCUGAAAGACAAGAAGGGCACUGACUAGGGAAAGGGCAGGCAGCAGGUAGGGGAGAGGAGCCAACCUUUGGUUUCACAUAUAACUCAACACCACCUAGAAAUCUGAGGGGCAAAUCUGACUGCACAAAGGAAUCUUUUGAGUCUGACCUUAGAUAGACAGGAUUUUUGCGGAUGAAAUUCAUUCUUUCAUAAUAAAGAUGUAGUAAUAGGAGCAUCUAUUGAGUAAUUUCCCAGAAACACAAGACUGAACCAGAACUAGUCAAAGAGAUUAGGCCAGUGACAAAACUCAUCUAAGCAGAAAUGCUAAGAUUUUUUUUUUUUGAUGCUGGGGAUCGAACCCAGGGCCUUACACAUGUAAGGCAAGCACUCUACCAACUGAUCUAUAACCCCAGCCCCAGAAAUGCUAAGAUUUUUAAUUGUCAAAGUGCAUCCUGGUAGAAUGUAGCAUUCCCAGAAAAGGUCACUGUAGAAGCCUGGAGAAAAAGCAGUACAUUAGGGGCUGUGGCUGUGGCUCAGUGGUAGAGUGCUUUCCUAGCAUGUGUGAGGCACUGGGUUUGAUCCUCAGCACCUCAUAAAAAUAAGCAAAAUAAAAUAAAGCAUGCUGUUCAUCUACAACUACCAAAAAACAUUUUAAAAAAAGCAAUACAUUGGAUUUUGUUCUAAGUCCUUUGUAGACGUUUGUGAAAGAAGUAAUCGGGUGAGAUUACUUCUUUCAGAUAUUUUCUGAGCUCCUACUAUGUGCCAGGCAUGAUUUUUAGGCACUAGGGCUCCAUCUGUAAACAUCACACCUUGCUUUCAUGAGCUGACAUUCUAGUGGCAAGAGCAAUAACCAAACCAAAACAUAAUACGAUACCAAGUAGUGAUAAGUUCUGGAAGACAAGUCAGGCUGGGCGAGGUUAUGCAGGCUACUAUAAGUACCUUGUCUGGUAUGGAGACCCUUAAAUAGAAACUCGCAAGAAGAGAAAGUGUGAGGCCCAAGGUACCUGGGGGAAGCUUGAUCCAGGUAGCAGGAACAACCAUAGCAAAAACUCUGGGGCAAGAGACUCAAUGUGUUUAAGGACCAGUAAGAAGGCCUGUGUGAAUGAAGUGAAUUCAAACCUAUGACUGGGAGUCUCAAAAGUGACUGUAAGCAUGCUGAGUAUAACUGCAUAAGAUGAUAGCAAACAAGGCAGUUUCAGAAAGGCUAAAGAUUCACAAAUGUUGCACACUCAUACAUAUGGCUUUCAAAUUCAAGUCAGCUACAUUCAUAGGAGGUCGUUAAUUGGAAGGAAUUGCCACCUUGAACCCCAAAGUGUUUGUAACCUAACAAACUUUGAGCUCUUUACCCAAAUCCUUCAUUUUUCGGAUCCUAUCCUGAGCACUAUUGUCAUGGAGGGCAAGGAUGGCUGUCCAAGCUGACUAGCCAACCGGUGGAGUUGGGGAGAAGCCAGAUCACUAAGACCUGCUGCUCAUUCCUUGUGUAAAUGGAAGUAGCAGCACUCGGAUCACAUGGGCCCUCUUGUUCAUUGCCUCUUCAUCCUGGUGGUGGGGACAAUACCCACUGGGAGGGAUAAAAGGGAAUAAAAGCCAAAACUUUUAAAGUCGGUGAGAUUAAGAAGCCUAUCUGAUUUUUAAAAACAGCUCAUUGGUGUAGGCCGAGAUUCAGCACAUUAAAAAUCAAACUGCAGUUGGCCCUCUCUGUGCACAGCUCUACAUCCAUGGAUUCAAUCAACCACCUGUUGAAAAUAUUUGAAAAAAUUGUGCCUGUAUUGAACAUGUACAGACUUUUUCCUUAUCUUUAUUCCUGGAACAAUGUAGUAUAAAAACUAUUUAAAUAGCAUUCACGUUGUUAAGCAUGAUAAGAAAUCUAGAGGUGAUUUAAAGUCUAUGAGAAGAUGUACAAAGGUUUUGUGCAAAUACUAUGUCACUUUGCAUAAGGAACUUGAGAGCAUCCUUGGAUUUUGGUGUCUACAGGGAGUUUGGUCUAUUCCCCACAGAUACUGUAAUAAACCAGUGUAAUAAAACACCAGAGUGGCUAAGUGCAAACCAA